GGCAGUGUGGCCGAGUGGUCUAAGGCGUAUGACUCGAAUUCCACGAAAUCAUAUAUCUUCGGAUGCGUGUGUUCAAAUCACACCGCUGUCG
Molecule: non-coding RNA, 91 nt
Organism: Aspergillus heteromorphus CBS 117.55
Lineage: Eukaryota; Fungi; Ascomycota; Eurotiomycetes; Eurotiales; Aspergillaceae
Source: the annotation of a RefSeq genome assembly